CAGGGUAGGCGACCGAGCGAGCGGGAAAGUCAAAGUCAAGGUGUGAGCGGGGAGCGGCAGAAGCGCUUAGGGUCUAACAGAGCAGCUAAAACUACCCGCGCCGCGGUAAAAACACCACUAAAACAACAACGAACGGGGGGCCUGGGCGGGGCACCUCGCCGGUACCACUUCUGGGGGUUAUCGUGGGGGUUCCGGUUCCGGUUCCGCCGGAGGCCGAGGCCGUGGCCGCGGCCGCCACGACGGUCCGGCAGGGGCCGCUCGCGGAGGCCGAGACCAAGCCGCUUCCGCAGCUUCAAAUUCUUUGCCUUUCGGUAACCGCGGCCGCGUUUCCAACGCCGGUGACGACACCGUCGCCGGCUACCCAGCUGAAGGCGCCCACGACGGCCGUCCCUGCUUGGACGGGGACGCGGACACGUCUUUGGCAGGUGCGGAAGACCACGCAGCGGACGCCGUAGAAACUUCGGUCGGUGGCAUCGACUUCCUAGUAGACGACGGGUCCAUGACCGUGGUUUCGGUCUGUGGCGACUUCUUCGUAGUCGCAGCUGAGGUUUCGGUUUCGGUUUCGAUUUCGGUUUCGGCCGACUACGACGUCGACGGUGGUCGUUACCCCGCCCACGAUCGCCAUCAUCACCACCAUCGUUCUUCGUCUUCUUCCCCGUAUUCCUCUCCGAAUACCGAACCUUCCCUUUCCCCUUCGUCCUCCUCCGCGUCCCCUUAUUCUUCCCCUACUCCUUCCUCCUCCCCCUCGUCCCCUUAUUCUUCCCCUGCCCCUUCCUCCUCCCCCGGUUCUUUCUUCCCCCACCACUAUCGUCCCCUCCUCCCGAAUAGAAGUACACGUUACGUGUCUGAUUCGGCCUCACGAAGGUCUUGGCACACAAACCGUACGGGUACCCCUUCUUCCUCUACCACCUCUUCCAGGCUGGUCCCUGUUUCCAUAAGGACAUACUAAAACUGAACUCCGACGAUAUACCUCACAUGUUCCGCUGUAGUUUCCCGCCCUAUUUGGAACAGUCUUUACAUAAAUUGCCCUUCAAAGGACGAGUCCACUUUAAAUGCUGACUAUUUCUAACGGAAGGAGAAGGACUCUCAUGAAAGUUCGUACGGUAGUUUCUCUUGAUGUCACGUUCGGCGUUUAAACUGGGACUCUAGUGAAGAUGUGUUCAAGCAUCCGACUACCGAGAUAAGUUCGGAUAGUGACAUGUAGUUAGUCGAGGUUCCCCAGUAGAUCUACCUUCCAUGGCGCUACUUCUUUCUUCCGUAGUUGUACUUCUAUCCGGUGUAGGUAACGUACAACUUCUGUCCGCGGGCGUCCACCUACUAGUGUCUAUAAUAGUUGUUCGUGGAGGACGUGGACUCAGAGUUGUGUAAGGAGAACGGGGUCUCCGAGCGGUACAAGGAGAACGGUGUCCCGGAGUGAUACGCGGAAGACAUGGUCUCGGAGCCGUACAGGGUGGUCGCAUAAUGGUGGUAAACCGAGGAAGUAGACUACUAAGAAUGAUGGCAAGAGCUCACCUAGGUCACGUACUCGCGUAACGACGGUCUUGUGGAGGUUCCCUAAUGCGUCGUGUCGAACCCCUCAACAGACGAGCACGACUGGUAUACAGCCUGGAGAUGGCCUGGUGACAAGCACUACGAGCGGACCUCCUAGGAAUGGCGGGUCCUCUCGAACGACGGGCACCACGAGCACACCUCCUUGAGAUGGCGGGUCAUCUCUAACGAAGAGCACCACUAGCACACCGCCUAGAGAUGGUCCUAGAGAUGGCGAGACGUCUCCAAGGAAGAGCACCACGAGCAUACCUCCUAGAGAUGGCAGGUCCUCUCCAACGACGAGCGCUACAAGCAUACCUCCUAGGGAUGGCAGUUCCUCCCUAUCUACGAGCACCAAGAAUACCCCCCGAGAUGGCAAGACUGGUCGAUUUACGAGCACGUCACCUAGAGGGUGUAAGAAUAGUCUGGAGGUUGGGACGAAUACGACUUCGGUCAGUCUCUGGACAGGGAUGUCGUUCCCGGUUGCGUGGUCCACGGGGCCAAAGGAGUGAGAUAAGGAAGCGACCUCGCGGUCGUAUAGCUACUUAAAAGAGUCGUAAAUUGUACGACACGGCAGCCAACAUGACGGUCAGCGCAACAGCCUACAAAUGAAAAACCAAUUUUGAUAUCGAAUUGACACUCUUCAGCCCUACAAAAAAGAGAGUAGAACAUACGGACAAUUUGACGAAUGGCCUACUUACCGUAAGUCCAAGUCUGGUACGACAGGUACAACGACACAACUACAAUAAUACAAAA
This 2283-nucleotide ribosomal RNA is filed under the name Triticum aestivum (bread wheat). Its description in RNAcentral is "partial small subunit ribosomal RNA". The record is from RNAcentral. Lineage: Eukaryota; Viridiplantae; Streptophyta; Magnoliopsida; Poales; Poaceae.